RNAcentral lists this transfer RNA (72 nucleotides) under Candidatus Shapirobacteria bacterium CG06_land_8_20_14_3_00_40_12. RNAcentral's name for it is "tRNA-Val". It matches the Rfam family "tRNA". Rfam says of the family: Transfer RNA (tRNA) molecules are approximately 80 nucleotides in length. Lineage: Bacteria; Candidatus Shapironibacteriota. The record is from RNAcentral.
GACCGUGUAGCUCAGUGGUAGAGCGUUCCGUUCACAUCGGAAAGGUCCCUGGUCCAAAUCCAGGUACGGUCA